Molecule: ribosomal RNA, 482 nt
Filed under: uncultured bacterium
Lineage: Bacteria
Description: partial 16S ribosomal RNA
Rfam family: Bacterial small subunit ribosomal RNA
Source: RNAcentral
AUUGAACGCUGGCGGCAUGCCUUACACAUGCAAGUCGAACGGUAACGGGCCUUCGGGUGCCGACGAGUGGCGAACGGGUGAGUAAUACAUCGGAACGUGCCCGAUCGUGGGGGAUAACGAGGCGAAAGCUUUGCUAAUACCGCAUACGAUCUACGGAUGAAAGCAGGGGAACGCAAGGCCUUGCGCGGGCGGAGCGGCCGAUGGCAGAUUAGGUAGUUGGUGGGAUAAAAGCUUACCAAGCCGACGAUCUGUAGCUGGUCUGAGAGGAUGAUCAGCCACACUGGGACUGAGACACGGCCCAGACUCCUACGGGAGGCAGCAGUGGGGAAUUUUGGACAAUGGGCGCAAGCCUGAUCCAGCCAUGCCGCGUGCAGGAUGAAGGCCUUCGGGUUGUAAACUGCUUUUGUACGGAACGAAAAGCCUUCUUUUAAUACAGGAGGGUCAUGACGGUACCGUAAGAAUAAGCACCGGCUAACUACGUG